GACAAUUUGCGCUUUUAGUAUUUGUCCAGUAGGUUUCCUCAAUGAGAAAGCCCAA
Small nuclear RNA from Hucho hucho (huchen), 55 nucleotides. Its record names the gene U7. It matches the Rfam family "U7 small nuclear RNA". Rfam says of the family: Animal histone pre-mRNAs are spliced by a different mechanism than nuclear pre-mRNAs and self-splicing introns. This processing involves the U7 snRNP, which contains only one RNA species: U7. NCBI's taxonomy places the organism in Eukaryota, Metazoa, Chordata, Actinopteri, Salmoniformes, Salmonidae. The record is from Ensembl.